This 561-nucleotide ribosomal RNA is filed under the name uncultured bacterium. RNAcentral describes it as "bacterial SSU rRNA". It matches the Rfam family "Bacterial small subunit ribosomal RNA", at positions 359 to 917 of the family's 1533-position model. The record is from RNAcentral.
CCUGGCCCCACGGCAAAACCUGAUGGAGCUGGCCGCGUGAGUGAUGAUUGUUUUCGGAUCGUAAAGCUCUGUUGUAAGUCAAGAACGAGUGUGAGAGUGGAAAGUUCACACUGUGACGGUACCUUACCAAAAAGGGACGGCUAACUACGUGCCAGCGGCCGCGGUAAUACGUAGGUCCCGAGCGUUGUCCGGAUUUUUUGGGCGUAAAGGGAGCGCAGGCGGUUUGAUAGGUCUGAAGUUAAGGGCUGUGGCUCAACCAGGGUUCGCUUUGGAAACUGUCAAACUUGAGUGCAGAAGGGGAGAGUGGAAUUCCAUGUGUAGCGGUGAAAUGCGUAGAUAUAUGGAGGAACACCGGUGGCGAAAGCGGCUCUCUGGUCUGUAACUGACGCUGAGGCUCGAAAGCGUGGGGAGCGAACAGGAUUAGAUACCCUGGUAGUCCACGCCGUAAACGAUGAGUGCUAGGUGUUGGGUCCUUUCCGGGAUUCAGUGCCGCAGCUAACGCAUUAAGCACUCCGCCUGGGGAGUACGACCGCAAGGUUGAAACUCAAAUGAAUUGACGGA